GAUGAAGAACGCCGCGAAAUGCGAUAAGUAGUGUGAAUUGCAGAAUUCAGUGAAUCAUCGAAUCUUUGAACGCACAUUGCGCCCUUUGGUAUUCCUUAGGGCAUGCCUGUUCGAGCGUCAUUUAAACCUUCAAGCUAAGCUUGGUGUUGGGUGACUGUCCGCUUCACGGCGGACUCGCCUCAAAAUUAUUGGCGGCCGGUACAUUGGCUUCGAGCGCAGCAGAAACGCGAACUCGGGCCCGUCGUAUUGGCUCCCAGAAGCUAUCUUCACAAUUUUGACCUCGGAUCAGGUAGGGAUACCCGCUGAACUUAAGCAUAUCAAUAAGCGGAGGA
RNAcentral lists this unclassified non-coding RNA (332 nucleotides) under soil metagenome. RNAcentral describes it as "partial contains 5.8S ribosomal RNA, internal transcribed spacer 2, and large subunit ribosomal RNA". The stretch from base 1 to 120 matches the Rfam family "5.8S ribosomal RNA", at positions 35 to 154 of the family's 154-position model. The record is from RNAcentral.